RNAcentral lists this long non-coding RNA (1474 nucleotides) under Callithrix jacchus (white-tufted-ear marmoset). RNAcentral describes it as "lncRNA (ENSCJAG00000080949.1)". Lineage: Eukaryota; Metazoa; Chordata; Mammalia; Primates; Cebidae. The record is from RNAcentral.
AUGGGAAGAUUCCCAAGAUACAUACUGUUACGUGAGAAGAAGCAUGCAGAACAGUGUAUACACCAUCCUACUCUAAGAGUUAAAAUCAAGUUAGGAACCUACAACUCAGAUACAGCAAAAGUUAGCAUUUUAGCAAAUUGGCUUCAGAUCUAUUUUCUUCUCUCUCUUUUGAAGCAGAGUCUUUCUCUGUCACCCAGGCUGGAGUGCAGUGGUGCAGUCUCGCCUCACUGCAACCUCCACCUCCUGGGUUCAAGGAAUUCUCAUGCCUCAGCCUCCUGAGCAGCUGAAACCACAGGUGCAUGUCACCACACCUGGCAAAUUUUUUGUAUUUUUUUGAGAUGGAGUUUUUCUCUUGUUGCCCAAUCUCGGCUCACUACAACCUCCACCUCCCAGCUUCAAGCAAUUCUUCUGCCUCAGCCUCCUGAGUAGCUGGGAUUACAGGCACCCGCCAUCACCCAGCGAAUUUUUUGUAUUUUUAGUAGUGAUGGGUCUCACCAUGUUGGCCAGGUUGGUCUUGAACUCCUGACCUCAGGUGAUCCACCCACCUUGGCCUCCCAAAGUGCUGGGAUUACAGGCGUGAGCCACUGUGCCCAGUUGCUCAGCCUGUAAUUUCAACACUUUGGGAGGCCAAAGCGGGAGGAUCACUUAAGGCCAGGAGUUCAAGACCAGCCUAGGCAACAUGGAGAGAACUCUCUCCCACCCCCCAUCUCUAAAAAAAGUAAAAAGUUAUCUGGGAGUGAUGGUGCAUGCCUGUGGUCCUAGCUACUUGGGAGGCUGAGGUGGGAAAAUUGCUUGAGCCCAGGAAGUCAAGGCUGCAGUGAACCAUGAUCCUGCCACUGCACUGCAGUCUGGGUAACAGCAAGAUUCCAUCUUACAAAGCAAAGGAAAACAAACCACAACACAACACAACAAAAAAACCCAUUAAAUAUGGCUGGGCAUGGCUCAUGUGUGUAAUCCCAGACACCUGACAUGCUAAGGCAAGAGGCCAUGAGUUCAAGACUAGCCUGGACAAUAUAGUGAGACCCCUGUUCCUGCAAAAAAAUCCCCACAAAAAUUAGCCACAUAUGGUGGCACAUGCAUCUCUGUGGAGAGAAUUGGAGUCCUGACUACUGGGGAGGCUGAGGUGGGAGGAUUGCUUGAGCCCAGGAGUCAAGGUCACAGUGAGCUACGAUUGUGCCACUGCACUCCAGCUUGGGCAACAGAGCAAGAUCCUGUCUCUAAAUAAAAUACAUUUUUUUUUAAAAGAGACAGGGUCUCGCUAUAUUGCCCAGGCUGGAGUGCAGUGGCAAUUCACAGGGGCGAUCCCACCGCUGGUCAGCAUGGGAGUUUUGAUCUGCUCUGUUUCCUACCAGGGCCAAUUUGCCCCUCCUUAGGCAACCUGGUGAUGCCCCGCUCCCAGGGGGUUACCAUAUUGUUGCUGAACUUAGCGUGGACACCUGAUUGGCAUAGUGCACUACAGCCCAGAACUCCUGGA